Molecule: signal recognition particle RNA, 97 nt
Filed under: Halomonas sp. M1
Lineage: Bacteria; Pseudomonadati; Pseudomonadota; Gammaproteobacteria; Oceanospirillales; Halomonadaceae
Description: signal recognition particle sRNA small type
Rfam family: Bacterial small signal recognition particle RNA
About the family: The signal recognition particle (SRP) is a universally conserved ribonucleoprotein involved in the co-translational targeting of proteins to membranes. Archaeal SRP consists of a 7S RNA and homologues of the eukaryotic SRP19 and SRP54 proteins.
Source: RNAcentral
CUUAGGUCCUCCCGCAACGCUAAACUGCAAACCCCGCCAGGCCCGGAAGGGAGCAACGGUAGCAGUGGCUGCGUGUGCCGGGAUGUGGCUUUUGGGG